GAUGAACGCUGGCGGCGUGCCUAAUACAUGCAAGUCGAGCGAACGGACGAGAAGCUUGCUUCUCUGAUGUUAGCGGCGGACGGGUGAGUAACACGUGGAUAACCUACCUAUAAGACUGGGAUAACUUCGGGAAACCGUAGCUAAUACCGGAUAAUAUUUUGAACCGCAUGGUUCAAAAGUGAAAGACGGUCUUGCUGUCACUUAUAGAUGGAUCCGCCCUGCAUUAGCUAGUUGGUAAGGUAACGGCUUACCAAGGCAACGAUGCAUAGCCGACCUGAGAGGGUGAUCGGCCACACUGGAACUGAGACACGGUCCAGACUCCUACGGGAGGCAGCAGUAGGGAAUCUUCCGCAAUGGGCGAAAGCCUGACGGAGCAACGCCGCGUGAGUGAUGAAGGUCUUCGGAUCGUAAAACUCUGUUAUUAGGGAAGAACAUAUGUGUAAGUAACUGUGCACAUCUUGACGGUACCUAAUCAGAAAGCCACGGCUAACUACGUG
RNAcentral lists this ribosomal RNA (497 nucleotides) under uncultured bacterium. RNAcentral describes it as "partial 16S ribosomal RNA". It matches the Rfam family "Bacterial small subunit ribosomal RNA", at positions 28 to 507 of the family's 1533-position model. The record is from RNAcentral.